Molecule: long non-coding RNA, 712 nt
Organism: Oncorhynchus tshawytscha (Chinook salmon)
Lineage: Eukaryota; Metazoa; Chordata; Actinopteri; Salmoniformes; Salmonidae
Source: Ensembl
UGGGAUGACCAACACUGGUAGGUAGAGACAGACUGGGAUGACCAACACUGGUAGGCAGAGAGACUGGGAUGACCAACACUGGUAGGCAGAGAGACUGGGAUGACCAACACUGGUAGGUAGAGACAGACUGGGAUGACCAACACUGGUAGGCAGAGAGACUGGGAUGGCCAACACUGGUAGGUAGAGAGACUGGGAUGACCAACACUGGUAGGUAGAGACAGACUGGGAUGACCAACACUGGUAGGUAGAGACAGACUGGGAUGACCAACACUGGUAGGUAGAGACAGACUGGGAUGACCAACACUGGUAGGUAGAGACAGACUGGGAUGACCAACACUGGUAGGUAGAGACAGACUGGGAUGACCAACACUGGUAGGCAGAGAGACUGGGAUGGCCAACACUGGUAGGUAGAGAGACUGGGAUGACCAACACUGGUAGGUAGAGAGACUGGGAUGACCAACACUGGUAGGUAGAGACAGACUGGGAUGACCAACACUGGUAGGUAGAGACAGACUGGGAUGACCAACACUGGUAGGUAGAGACAGACUGGGAUGACCAACACUGGUAGGUAGAGACAGACUGGAUGACCAACACUGGUAGCUUGGCAUGUAAAGGCGAGGAAGAUGCCAAUGCCACUACAGUAUAUCUCCAUGGAAGUAUGAACCCCCAUAGCUAGCUACAGUUGGGCUCAAUUCCAUUUCAAUUCCAGUCA